Molecule: ribosomal RNA, 490 nt
Filed under: uncultured bacterium
Lineage: Bacteria
Description: partial 16S ribosomal RNA
Rfam family: Bacterial small subunit ribosomal RNA
Source: RNAcentral
AUUGAACGCUGGCGGCAGGCCUAACACAUGCAAGUCGAACGGUAACAGGAAGAAGCUUGCUUCUUUGCUGACGAGUGGCGGACGGGUGAGUAAUGUCCGGGAAACUGCCUGAUGGAGGGGGAUAACUACUGGAAACGGUAGCUAAUACCGCAUAACGUCGCAAGACCAAAGAGGGGGACCUUCGGGCCUCUUGCCAUCGGAUGUGCCCAGAUGGGAUUAGCUAGUAGGUGGGGUAACGGCUCACCUAGGCGACGAUCCCUAGCUGGUCUGAGAGGAUGACCAGCCACACUGGAACUGAGACACGGUCCAGACCCCUACGGGAGGCAGCAGUGGGGAAUAUUGCACAAUGGGCGCAAGCCUGAUGCAGCCAUGCCGCGUGUAUGAAGAAGGCCUUCGGGUUGUAAAGUACUUUCAGCGGGGAGGAAGGGAGUAAAGUUAAUACCUUUGCUCAUUGACGUUACCCGCAGAAGAAGCACCGGCUAACUCCGUG